AUUGCAUCAUCUUUAAUUAUUGUCAACAAAUCACUUGAAAAUGAACUUACAUUGAAUUAAUUUUACUAAUAAGAAUGCUGGUAAAAGAGAAACGCAUCUGGUGACUUAAUGCUUCAUUAAAAUGGACCAGAGCACACUGAUAUCAGCUCAGACAGCGCUGCUGAAUAUGGAGACUCUUGAAAACAACUUGUCAUGUUUAUGGUAUUUUGGGAAUGUAACUAAAAAUUCAACAUUAUAGAUUUUUCAAAUGUUUUAAUUGAUGGCAGGAAAGUGUGUGGCUUUACAUACACGUGCACAUGGCUUUGGCUGCACAAAGAAUAUGUGUAACCAGGAUUAAGCUAUUGUUGGUUUCUGUACACUACAAAGCAGAAAUAAAACAAUGCGUUGUUCACCUGGUAGACAACAAUGAACUUCAAAGAUGUGGUGAAUGAGCCACACAGGUCAUUCACCAUCAGCUAAAGUCGUCCUUCCAGAAUCUCUUUCUGCAUUUUUUUACUUCUGUGUUAUAAUGGACUCGCUCUGGACAGGGUGACAACGGACGACGAUUUUAUUAUCCUUAAAUCAGAACUGCAGGCAGAAACUGUAAGUGAGUGUGCAGCAGAUGUGAAUGACUCAGGCACCGGCCCACGGCACAUUACCGUGUUUUCUACCGCUGCACGUUGCUGCUUCAUUAGCUCUUGUUAGGACAGAUUUAUAAUCUGAGACCGAUCUCGGUAUAACGAUCGUACGUCAUUUAUUAGGGCUUGGCAGUGGAAAUCAAAUAUGGAGGAAGCCAGGACUGGAUGGCCGGUACCAGUAGCAGAGCUCUCAGGCUGGAUGUCCACAAAUGACUUGUAGCGUUGUGUGGAGAUGAACAGCCAAAGUCAAUUCAAAGAGUUUGUUGUUGUUGAUAAAUUUCCUAUCUUCUAGAUUAAAGGUCAUCAAUGCAUCAUCUUUAUAGUAAAAAGGUCAAAUGAAAGACCUUAGCCCUUUGAAAAAAGUAAAACCACAAUCGUCACCAUCGACAGUAAGAUAAUUUACAGAAAGCGUGUGUGACUGAAGUCACGAGUUUGGAAGAGAAUACGUAUUCACGUCAACGCUGGUUUUGAUAUCAGCACGUGGACACAUAAUUCAAGCACAAAACAGCAAAAUAAUUACAGGUAAUCUUGGUGUGAAGCUAACGCAGUCGGACCCUCAAUGACCUGAAUACACUGAGUGCACAGUGACUGCAUCUUCUCUUCCUAGAAAAUCAACGUAAUUACCGGAAUUGUCGGCCCCGAGGUAAUUUAGUACAGCUUUGACUUUAUACAACCAUAAAAAGAAGAUGUUAAAGUGUUUAAUUUGAGGCUUUUAAAGGUCUUCAGUUUUUUCCGGUACAUAAACUGAACCCGCUUCAUUAUUUCUGAUUAGUGCGUUAAAACUAAUCCAUCUUCAAUCCCAUCAAAUGUGAAUGAUGCGUAAGCUUCUUUGAGCCACUUCUCAAGUACGAUUUUGGCGAGAGAUGGUAUUGUAAGGCAGACAAACACAGAGCAAGAACAAGAGGGCAGCCAGCUGUGGAAGAAGACGUAAGGAUUAAACUGAUUAAACUGAUUUGAUUUUACAAAACGCGGUACACUGCGUCUCCUUCUAACAACUGAAUGUCCGCACAGCGAUGGCCUUUGAAAGUCUUUGUUUGAGUUUACUUUGUACUGCUGGUGCGUGGUCGGCUGUACAUGUGGGUGUCAGUGGUAUUGGAGCAUUGGUAUGGAGGUGUGCACAGGGGUGGGUGUGCAGGUUGUACUUUAGCGCGUAACCACCUUUUCUUCAAGCACGACAACACCACACAUAGUUAACAUCCCUUUAGAAGAUAAGGGUCCACAAGUCGAGUCCAUUCGGUUUAUUCAAACAUACAUUUGUAAGAAUUUUUGGAAAGUACUACGCUGGUUCAUCUUUUAAUUUUAGUCGGGACAAGUAAGCAGUAACUUGUUGGAACUAUUUUAAUGAGCUUUCAGCUGUGUCCAUGGACUAUUUUCUAUAUGUAGCAUCUAUCAGUAUGGAUCGAACUUUUUUCACAGCAGAGCAGCUUGCGAAAGUUCUACACCCUGCUUGCGUCACAAAGGGAAAGCGAUGGGGGGGCGGGUGGUAAAAAAAAUAUGAAUAUUUAAAUCUAGUUCCCUCAAAAGGCCACGUUAAUGACAGCACGGAUACUGAAUUGUAAUAAAAACACGCUAACAACCGUAGGAAACGUAGUGGGUGACUCCUUGUGACGUCUUGUCUUCCCAAAUGAGUCCAUAUUCGAGCGGCUCACAGUGACUGUGUGGGUGGAAGGUCCCCUGCCAUUGUGUGCCAAACCCACUGAUGACUCAACCCUCAUGGCACACUUCUUCCAAGGAAGUUGGAGUGGUCCCUUGUACCAGAGGACCUGCCUGUCGUCAUCAUCCCGUUCUGGGCAUUUGGCCGAGACAAUCAGCAGCAAUCCACGUGCAUCCUGGCUGGGACGGACAGCCUCGGUGUGGGAAGGGGUGUAAAGUAAAUACUUUACUCCCCGCUGUAGUGUUUCAUCACCACACAGGGCCUGUGGGGCAGACUUCUUCGUCACUGGUUGUCUCAGCAACACCUCACGCUACGGUUACGUGGUUAUUUCGGGCCUUGGUCGGAUAUUCCAUUUACAUACUGGAGGUUUAGAGUAACUUGGGACGUCACACUGCAGGGACAAAACAAAUCAGGGACCUCCUGAGAUCAUUAAAGGCAAAGCUGCUUUUAGGUCAUUGACGUGUAUUUUAACAGUUGCACUUGCUAUUCAUACUGUUGUGGUGAGUUGGUUCUCAACUAUUAGCUUUGUACUGCUUCAUGUAUUCAUUUCGAGUGUUUUCAUUUCUUGUGUGUGUUACUGUGUGUUGAUGCUGUUUGUUGCAGAACAUUUACAUCCAUCACAACAAAUCAAAACAGCAUUCAUUGUGUUUUCACAUAAAAUAGAUCUAAAUGUGUUGAGAACAACAUCUGAAGCGUGCCUUGGACCACAAACAAGUCCAAAAAUACUCCCCUCGCUGAGCUGUGUGUAAUUUGCCCCUGACCCUGCAGGGAGCAGACGGCUGCUUCCACUGAUUGGAAACACUACGGGUUGCGCCAAAAAAGACAAACAAUCCCUUCUUGUUUUUGACUAAUCCAAGACGAGUAAACAUGAAGCUAUACAGAAAGAUAACUUGUCGAGUGGACAGUUUUGACAAUUGUCCUUCUGCAUUAAGGGGCAUGUGGAUAUUUUACAAUUGAAAACAUAUAACGUGUGAAAACACCUUUAAAUAGAGGCUUUUAGUGAUGCACACCUAUUCACUUUCUAUGCCCAGAGUUUUAUUUCAAUAUCACAACUGUAAUGUUGAUCUAUGGAGCUACAGAGCCAGAUCUCAAUUAGUUUAGCACAUAGCAGAAGUGUCACGCCAGCUUCAUAAAGGGUUAAACUCUCUUUUGAUUUAAGGCCUUAACUCUAUAUUCCUCACGUAAGACACAAGAAUGCAGAUUGAUUUGUUCAUUCAUUCAUUUACAUUUAUGUAAAACAUAAAUAUAAGUCCCUUUUAAUGAAUUCAGAUUGAAGAUAAACCUGCAUCACGUCAUUAAGAAGAGAAAAGGUUCCCUCAACACCCAUUAGACUCUAACAUAUGCAUUGUAAGAUUGUUUUUACGUGGCUAAAUAUGCCAUCGCACUAACCACAACAUCACUUGCAUAGAGCGAGCUCUCUUUCCCGGCUGUCACUUGCAGGUGAAGAAAACGGCUCUUGAUGGAAGUCAUGACGCACGUUUCAAAGAGCCAACGUACCUCUAAACAGGGACGGUCACGGUGAGCUAAAUCUGGCGGCUGAGGUAAAUUCCCCGCUCGGCUCAUUUAAAGAUGCUUUCGUUGUGCUCAUUGCUUGUGCUUUAGUUAGGGGGGUUUAAUGGUCGUAGCAACUCCCGUUCUCAAGAGUCUGUGCGCAUAAGAGCAACUAGAUGGAUCAGUGAGGGAGUGAGCCAGAAAGUGCACUUACUGACAUUAAAGUAUAUCAAUGGGAUUUUCAAAAAAUGACUUAUUCUGCGUAUGUAAGUGUUAGUUGACCCACUAUCGGAAAUUCAGUUUAAUUGAAAUGCUUUCAGUACACCACCUACGAAACCACUGUGCAGCAUCAGGGUUGACUAUAGUACUAUAUUACCACCUUUGGGAUCCUGUUUCUGUUCUUUGGCCACAAAUUACCAUUUUCAGCACACAAACCAAUCCCAGUUGAAGCAUUAUGUGUGCCUGAAACACACGCCAGGUGCCUCAGCCCAAACAAACGCUCAGGCCAUUACUAUGGUUGUGGUCGAUCUAUAAACGCAUGGCUUGUUCCUGGCUGAUCCAUUGACUUCCCCUAAUCUUGCCUUGUUUUUUUAUCCAACCGUGUGCCCAUUUCAUAUCAUAACAUAGGGAACCGUAAUUAACCUUUAAUAUGAUGCUAAAGAAGCUUUGCUAACAGUUUUUCCUCCCAGACCGUAAGGGGAUUUCUAGCUAUUUGAUUCAUUGUAUUUGCAUUAUUAAAGUUAUGUUAUGUUAUUAUCUUGUCUUGUCAAAUGGGACUUAGUUAGUUUUUGCAGGAUUAUUUUAUUUACUAGUUCUUUUGCUGAGCUAAUGUGAGGCAUCCUUGGCAAAAAGUUAAACAUAUUAAGCACAGGGGGUUGGACCGAACUAAGAGGGAACUUGGAAGUCAGAGCUGGGGUACACACACAAAAGAGACUGGAGCACACUGACUGACGUGUUGGAAAAUUUGGCCUUUUUUCUACGGGGUCAUAUCCUUGCUCCAGAUGGCUUCAGUAUUUACUUGUACUGUAGAUCGACAUCUGUAGACCUUGAUUUAUGAGAUCACCUCUCUGAAUGCUGACGCCUUGGCAAACCCGUCUUCUAUUAAAGAGGUCCUCUCCCACUCUUUGACCUCACAGCCUCAAUGCAGCUUCACAAUGUGACUUCAAACCUCAUAUUUUGUGAUGAAAAGCUUUGAAAUCAGUGUGCAAAACCGCAAUGACCUAAUAAAUGCCAUUUUAUUAAUUUCAAAGAACAUUUGGUGGUACAGAAGAUUUCACAUUUAGUUGAAAGAUGUUAGAAACACAUUUGUUGUCAAAAUUUCCGUUACCUUCAAGAGGAAAGAAAACGCAGAGGAAUCGUUUCUGUUUCACAGACAACAUGGUGUGACAAAGACAAGUCACCAUUGUACUUCUUUACCUUAAAGAUGCUGUUGAUGUCUUGACACUGUCUUUGUUUUCUUGUUUUCGCAGCUUCUCUGGAAACUAAACAUGUUAAUUGAGGCACAGUGUUUCGAGGAAUAUGUCUGGCUCUGAAUAAUGAGAAUACGGAGUACCUGAAUUGCCUCCACUCUGAGCCAUCAGCAGUAAUGUUCGUUUUAAGUUCUGAAAAUAAACGGCCAGAACAUUAUGGAGAGUUGUCAUUUCAAGAAAGCAAAGUCAGGUUCACUGUGACCAAACCGACCGAGUUCAGCCGUAAGUUGAAAACAAGUCAGAUGAGUCCGAACUUACUUUUGCAUCUUACUCAGCGUAAUUAAAGUAAACUUCCUGGAGAUGUUUUUUUUUUUUGCACAAAAAUGUAUUUUUGUCUUUAUAAGAAAAGACAAAUUGCUUAGAGACACUUGAGUUAAAAAUGGCAUCAAGGAACUUGUUGCUUACAAUAAAUGUCAAAUCAAUCAAGUGAACAACAAUAGAAAACCCCAAUAACAAUAAGCCGAGCUGAGCGUGAGAAGAAGGAUGGAAAAGACAAAACAGGAAUGUAAUUGAGUGGGUUUCUCUGUCACCCACUUAUCACCAGUGUUUGUCGGAGAUUGGCAGGCGACCAAACCAAACCACAUUAUAUUUUACCACAAGGACGCAAUGUAUUAAUAUUAUUAGUAAAAUUUGUAAAAUGAUGGGUGAACAGCCACAAUCAGGUGUUUAAUUUACUACACUGUGUAUUACAUCAGUUUUGAGUAACCUACAUGUUGAACAACCUUUAUAAUAAGCAUGCAUGUUAUAUAAAACAACUGUUAGGUAACUGCGGUUGGUACAGUUAUAAAGUUAUAUAACCGACCCGCGGUGAAAGAAGUCAAUCUUCUUUCACGUGGGACUCAAACAGCGGCCUUAGUUGAAAGUCAUGUGUGUGUUUAACCGGUUCUCCCACAACGGCGUUUCUAUUUGAUGGGUUCAGAGUGGGAAUGGGUUUUCUUACGUUUUACAAGGUAAAUCACAAAUCAAAAUGUUGUGGUCAACAACAGCAUUUCAGUGUCUCAAAGCUUUUAUUGAUUUGUAGCCCAAAAAGUUCUUGUCGUUUGGAUUCACUCUCACAGCUCUCGUCUCUUUGUUUCGUCAGCACUAACAGGGAAUGGUUGUUGGAACCAAGUACCAAAAAGGACAAAUUCAGAAAUACGAUGGAAGCUUUACAGGAGGCUUCCCACAAUAAGGGUGUAUCUGAGCUGAGUAGGACAACUUUAAAAAAAAGUUAAUAAAUUCAAAUUCUAUUUUAUUAAUACAGGGCUAGGGCAGUGGAAUAAGUCUCAACACAGACCUCAUUCAACAUCAGCGCAAACAAAAGGGACGUAGUGCUAAACGAUUAAAUACACAAUUCCACACCGUAACAAUUGGGCCAACUUUUGUCUAUUCAACCAACUUGGAGUCUUUUUACUCCUCUUAAGGUCUUAAGGUGUCCCAAUUGACAAACAUCCAUCAUCAUCCUAUGGGACAACACUCAAACAUUCCUGUGUAUUUGAUCCCAACCAUGAAUGAGAAAGAUCAUGACUGGGUCAAAAUACAUUUAAUACAUAAGUUUGUGUGACCCUGCAGCCGUAUGUUUUUGUUGAGAAAAAUGCUUAUACAUCAAACACUAAAGUAAAAUGCAAUUUAAGUUUAUGAGAGCGUCAUUUUUUGAAACGAAGAAACAAAAAAAAAAACUUUGUGUGCAUGAUCGUGUAGCUUUCUUUAACUGUGGACAAAUAUAUAAUAUACAGCAGAUGGACGGGUACGACCUUAGUGCUCAGAAUGGUUUUGUCCCAUUGUGAGUCAUGAUGUGAAAGUGGGAUGUGUUGCUACAAAGGCUUUGAAUACAUGUCCAAAAAUAUUUUUAAUAUAUACCAUCAAAUAAAAUAUGUGCUUUGCACAGAUUGAUCCAUCCGAUUUUUUAAAAAAGGAACAUUACCAACAUGAACAACCUGUUAUUUUUGUUUUUUCUAUAUGCACACCACUGUGAGUGAUGAUCAGAUUUAAGCUUCAUGCUAGCAAUGUAUUUAGAAACGGCACAUGUAUUUAUGCAUGAUCAGGUUAAUGAGUGUUUAUGUGAGAUAUUAUGUAUGCACAGAUGAUGCCCAAUCUAAAAUGUGUUAAUAUUACCCUGAUAAAGAUAACCUUGAAAUGCCCAUUUAAAGGUGCACCGGUGUUUGUCCUCGUGUUGAAGACACCUUGUUGCUCAAAAUACAGGUUUUGUGCGAAAUUGCUCAGAGGGAAAGAGAAAGGAGAAAGCACUUGAACAUAUUCUUUGUGCACUGCCUGCUUCUCUCCUCUACACAAGCACAGAAAAAUUUCCGGCCAGCCCAUAUUUGGGCAACGAUACAGGGUGCUACAGAUGAGUCACACAUCAGACUCCCACACUCACCGGCAAUGCAUGUGUGCAAGACAGCAGAGAAAGAGAACGCAGAGGGGUACAGCGAGAGAAUAAAGAAAUAAAAGCUCUGCAAAAGCUGUGCAGGGCUAACCUGCAAUCCAGGUAAUGGUGUUCGCAUUAUCACAUCCGCACAUUUUCACUGAGGAAAUAACAAGGUCAGAGGACAACAGAAGGGACUGGGAGGACAUUAGCAAACGCAGUCUACAAUACGAGCCUUUUUCCUGUUAUAACCCGACACACAAAACCGCCGCCUGUUUGGUCCAUUGUUUGACGUUAAUGUUUCAGGCGCUCAUGCAGAAUGCAGAAAAAAGUCUUUGGCCAACUUUGCAAUCAAGACUCAACUGAGUGACAAGAUAAAUAAACGUAUUAUUUCCAAUUUCAAAAAUGUCAAACUGUUGCUUUAAGAUGUAUUCUCUUGGAACCAUGGCUGUCUGUUCCGGGGGGUAUUCAAAGUGAAAUAAGGAUCUGCUAGUAGUGUGAGCGACAGUUACAUCAGUGUCUCUUUGCUUCGCAAUACUUGUAUCACUCUAGAACUAGUCUCUGCAUUAAGGCCAGCCUGGCUCAGCUUGUCAUUGCUUUCUGCAGUUUCCAGGGACUCACUGGUGUGCUCAUCCAGAGGUAACACCAUGUAUGUCUUUCCUGCAGUCGGUGCAAUCCGUUUCUUUCUUUCCUGCGAACCAGUGAAGAGGCCUUCCUUUGCCACUCGCUGUAUUGCAACUCCUGUGAGUCAUUCUGCUACAUGAUUACAUGCCCCUAUCUCUCUCUUUCUUUCUCUUUUCAUUAAAGUAAUACCUGCCCCAUUAAUUCCUAGUGCAUCUUGUCCCUUUCAUAGACAUGACUAAGAACAGUUCGCUAUUUGCUUUUGGCUUGUUGUUGUUGUUGAAAGUGGGGAAGCCUCCACUGGAUUAAAAUGGACUUUGUGUUACAAUCACAACCCUUGUCUUCCUGAUAUGAACCAACAGCACCCAACAUGAAGCAUUGACAGUCUAGGUAAACUCAUUCCUGCUCUUAAGACAAAGUCAGGGGGUUCGGGUGAGCUCUACUGGGUGUUGCAUUAAACAAAAUCAAUAUUCUGCCUCAACUCGAAAGGCCGCAAUUUGGAGCUCUUUUUCUCUUCUUCAUUACAUCCAUAUUGAUCGUCAAAGAAGUUGCCCUGCUACAAAUGUUCAGCAGAGGCCGUAUUAAAUGACAAUUUCUUACCAGCUGAAAAGCCCUAUGGAAUUAGUUGAAGUGAAUCAGUGGUUCAUUUUCUGCACGUCUAUUGGGAAAGAUCUAGUUGUCUUUUUUUAUUGGCCUUCACCAGCAAAAGUUAACAAGAUUUUAAAUUAAUUCAAAAAAGUACAUUUCAUAUCAAACUCACUAAAAUCAAUUUAACAGAAUUUUAAAUCCCUGCAAAGCAAAGCAGUUGGAGGAUUACAGGUCCUCUCACUCCUGCACACACACACCCAAAAGCUCUAGUUUUGUCUUUUGUUUCACACUUUGCUUUAAAUCCUCGUCCAGCCAUCAACAUAAAACCACACAUAUAAACAAGACGUACACACAGAAUAGUUUAGAAAAACUUGUCAGCUCACAAACUAGAUGUCCUGGAGCGCAACCCAAUCCUAUGAAAAGCUGUAUGAAAAGCACACUGUUCCCGUGUGUCAUUGAGGUGCAUUUUAGGAUUUUAGCGUGUCAUCUAAAAGCCACGUGCUCAAUGUUUUAUGGAUUGGAUGGAUUAUCGUGUCCCUAGACGCCACGCUGUGACCACAGAAAUUACCUUGUUAUGUUUUGACAAUAAAACAACAGUAAACGAUGGUUUAGAGAAAACAACCUCUUGCAAACAAAAUGACUUACGAAAUUGCUGUGUGACACAUACAACAUUUGGUCAACAUUUGGUAGCUAUUUUCCAGUUGGAUGAUGAUGGAUGAAGACCUUUUCUUUAAGAGGUGCACAAAUGUGUAUUUAAGACAUAAAUAGGAGAAUGUGAUUAAUGGGUUUAAUGUAAUUUAUGUCUAUAAUGUCAUUACAUAUAAUCAAAUAGCAAUUGUUAGGCAAUUGGUUGGUAUGCGGUUGUGUGUCAAACAAAGUGUGUCAUCUUUAGGAUGAGAAGGAUUUCAGGUAAUACUUGUUUCAUAUUUAUUAUGCACUAGUUCUUUUUGUACCAUAUCUUUAUUACAAUACUUACUGUUAAAUUGUUCAUAGCACUUUCUACCCCAGGUACGUUAUGGCGGUGACUUAGAUGCCUGAGGGAGGAGAUUGAUAAGCUGCUGCAGUUCUUCUUUGUUGUACUGAGACCUCUUCAGUGGAGCACUCUCCUAUUGAUGAAUAAGGAUUUGCUGGCACAGUUCACAGUAAUUGUUUUUUGGAAAAGUACAAACUUGUCCCCCUAUCUCCCCUCUACUGUGUUUGCUCUAUUUUUGCUCUUCGUGGUUAAAAAGUGAUUGAGAAUCAAAACCAUCAACAUUAAAAUAAAAACUGCAAAAUGUAAAAUAAGAUAAAGAUCUGAAUCUGUGAAUUUUCACCUUUUCUCCCUCUUGCAGAUUCCCCACCUUGGUAAAGCUGAAGCAGGGGUGCAGAAACCGUUGGAUUGAUUUUAAUCAAUCUCGUUAUUGUAAAUUACAUCAUAGCCUCACAACCCACUGACUCAGUUAUUCAAGCACCUGUAGAAUACACACUUUCUACGGUCGAUGUCCUACCACUCAAUCAACUCUAAACGAACAAAAGAUGAGUGCAGAAUUGGGGCUUAAGCUUCUUCAGGUGUCUUUGUGUUCCUUUAAAGUGCAGCAGUACUCUCUCUCUCUCUCUCUCUCUCUCUCUCUCUCUCUAGCAGCCAUCAUUGUGCAUUGUGCUUUGGUAAUAAUCCCUUCAAGAAGGUCCGCAAUUUACUAUCCCACUGUACUCGCCAUGCAAGUAACAUCGAUUCUGCAUGUAAAAAGGAUUUGGACCUGCAGUACUUCAAUAUUCUGUGCCAUUCUUAACGGUAUAUAAACACAUAAGGAAGCAGCCAACUGGGUGUUUUUGAAUCUUACUGUAACUGUUGGAUUAUACGUGUUUAUUAACCGUUUACAAGCAUUCCUUUCCAUAUUCUCUAUGCGGGUGUCUCUCUGACUAUGAAACUCUCUGCCUUGUCUGGUUUGAACGCGAGCAGAACACAGCCUACGUCAUCCUCAUCAAUUCGGGAAGCAGAAGUAUCUAAACACAGCACCAUCUAGAGUCCACACAGCCUCAUAGCUGCGAGGAACGUGGUCCAUGAAGGCAAAGCAAGAGUGGGAAAUGUUGUCACCCAUUUUGGUAUCAAGUCAAGCACAGCAUGUUCUGAAGGAGUCAAGUAGGAGCAACAUGGGUCAAAAGGACAAAAUGAUGAAGAAACAACCUAUUUUUAAGAUUUCCGUUAUGAUUGCAUGAGCAUGUUUCGUUUUUUACACAAAAAUCAAACAACCCCAGAAAGUCUCUCCCACUUUAGUUAGGAAACUACAUCCUGUGAUUCACUAGUAGCGAUUUGCCUUUUUCUGGGUCCUUGACUGCCUGAAAAGUACUCAUUUCGUGAGAGGGCUGUCCUGGUUUCUGUGGGAAGGAGGAUGGAGGCGAGGUCAGUGGUGAUUCCUCAAAACUUUUUUUUUCCUCACUCUCACUUAUGUGGGCAUUUGUUUAUGUAACUGUGCCUGCAGCGCUGACGCCUCCCUCUUCAGGGAUCUAUUACAAACCAGAGGGCGUUCGAUGUUCAAAUAUGCAGGCGCAAAAAGGUGAAGGUUUUAUUGGAGUUCAAAAUAAUGUUUAUUGGCAAUUUUUAGUGUAUUUGCUAAUUACACCUAAAUUAGCUGCAUGGAUCACAUGCUCACACUUAUGGCUUUGGCUACCGAACAGCUGUGAAUCAGCAGUUGGAGGUUAAAUGACCACCUAACCCUACCUGUGACUCCUGUCCCCAUUACAUAUGCAGAAAGAUUGAGGGUUCUUCAGCAACCAUUUGUCCAUCGAUGAGCUCUCAGCCUGUGGAGCAGAAGAAAUAAGAAAUGUGAGCUAACAUUUAAUCAGAGGAUUUCUUCCCGGGCCACAGAUGAUGGCUGCUAGUUUGUGAGUUUAAUUAACAUGAAUAAACAUGCUACAGAGAUACAGAAAUGAACCAGUUUACAGGCUGGUCUCUUUCUAAGAUGGUACACAUGGUUUUGUUGAUAGAUAUUUGCCACUUAGCGAGUUGGAAGAAACCCCCAGCUCGCUAACAGAGGUGGUAAAAUGUACAUUAAUGACUAAUAUUGUGCAAGCAAUGCAGGGUUCAAAAGACGUGAAAGGGAUUAUAAUAAAGAAUAUGUUUCAGGGAUUUGCAGGUGGUCUAUAUUGCUACAAAGUGUUAAUGAAAGUGAUCUUAAGUGUACAAAUGGGAUAAAGUCAUUAUUUAGCGAACAAUGUCAUUGUCGAAAUAGGUAACGAUAAACUGUUUUGUGAUGGUCUUUUUAUAAAAGCUUAGGUUGAAACCGACCUGGCUUAACCUCUGUAAUCUUAAGAGCCCUCAAUGGGCUGUUUCCACAAAAAUAGCAUUAAAGACUGUUAAAAUAA
Molecule: long non-coding RNA, 12126 nt
Organism: Gasterosteus aculeatus aculeatus (three-spined stickleback)
Lineage: Eukaryota; Metazoa; Chordata; Actinopteri; Perciformes; Gasterosteidae
Source: Ensembl